ACUGGUCAACUUUUCUUUUGAACCGGCACGGAUCAUCAUCACUGUUUGUGAGGGUUUCUUUAGCUCCCCUCCUUCGUGCACUAGCUCGAUUAUAUGGGCUUCAUGGUGUGCCAGCAAGGGGUUCUGAUUAAUAUUGGGUGCCUCUGGUGUCUGAACCUCUAGUGUCUGAACCUCAAUCUUGUUGGUGUCAAUAAGAUUUUGCACUGCAUGUUUCAACUUCCAACACUUCUUGGUAUCGUGUCCGGGAGCCCC
This 252-nucleotide long non-coding RNA is filed under the name Nicotiana benthamiana. Its description in RNAcentral is "long non-coding RNA (NBEN_LNC021340)". The record is from RNAcentral. Lineage: Eukaryota; Viridiplantae; Streptophyta; Magnoliopsida; Solanales; Solanaceae.